This 253-nucleotide ribosomal RNA is filed under the name uncultured bacterium. RNAcentral describes it as "partial 16S ribosomal RNA". It matches the Rfam family "Bacterial small subunit ribosomal RNA", at positions 524 to 776 of the family's 1533-position model. The record is from RNAcentral.
UACGUAGGGGGCAAGCGUUGUCCGGAAUCAUUGGGCGUAAAGCGCGUGUAGGCGGCUCGGUAAGUCUGCUGUGAAAGUCCAGGGCUCAACCCUGGGAUGCCGGUGGAUACUGUCGAGCUCGAGUCCGGAAGAGGCGAGUGGAAUUCCUGGUGUAGCGGUGAAAUGCGCAGAUAUCAGGAGGAACACCAAUGGCGAAGGCAGCUCGCUGGGACGCGACUGACGCUCAUGUGCGAAAGCUAGGGGAGCGAACGGG